UACGAAGGGGGCGAGCGUUGUUCGGAAUUACUGGGCGUAAAGGGCGCGUAGGCGACCGAUCAAGUCAGAUGUGAAAGUCCUGGGCUUAACCUGGGGACUGCAUUUGAUACUGAUUGGCUUGAAUUCGGGAGAGGAUAGCGGAAUUCCCAGUGUAGAGGUGAAAUGCGUAGAUAUUGGGAGGAACACCGGUGGCGAAGGCGGCCCCCUGGACCGGUACUGACGCUGAGGCGCGAAAGCGUGGGUAGCAAACGGG
RNAcentral lists this ribosomal RNA (253 nucleotides) under uncultured bacterium. RNAcentral's name for it is "partial 16S ribosomal RNA". It matches the Rfam family "Bacterial small subunit ribosomal RNA", at positions 524 to 776 of the family's 1533-position model. The record is from RNAcentral.